CCUACGGGUGGCAGCAGUGGGGAAUAUUGCGCAAUGGGCGAAAGCCUGACGCAGCGACGCCGCGUGAGGGAUGAAGGUCUUCGGAUCGUAAACCUCUGUCAGCAGGGAAGAACGGUCACUGUGCUAAUCAGCAGUGAAUUGACGGUACCUGCAAAGGAAGCACCGGCUAACUCCGUGCCAGCAGCCGCGGUAAUACGGAGGGUGCGAGCGUUAAUCGGAAUUACUGGGCGUAAGGCGCUCGUAGGCGGUAUGUCAAGUCAAGGGGGAAAUCCCCGCGCACAACGUGGGAACUGCCUUUGAAACGGGCAAACUGGAGUGUGUGAGAGGAAAGUGGAAUUCGAGGUGUAGGAGUGAAAUCCGUAGAUAUCGGGAGGAACAUCAGUGGCGAAGGCGACUAUCUGGCACAUAACUGACGCUGAGGAGCGAAAGCGUGGGUAGCGAACAGGAUUAGAUACCCUGGUAGUC
RNAcentral lists this ribosomal RNA (465 nucleotides) under uncultured bacterium. RNAcentral's name for it is "partial 16S ribosomal RNA". It matches the Rfam family "Bacterial small subunit ribosomal RNA", at positions 338 to 795 of the family's 1533-position model. The record is from RNAcentral.